UGUCUUAGGACUUUUCUAACUGCAUGCUCUAACUUCUGGUUUCCAAAUAGUGUGUUGGCUCUGUAGAGAAAUCAGUGCUGGAGCUGUAAGGCCAGGAACUUGCAAGGCUGUGUGCUGUAGAACAGCUGGGGCCAUGUGCUGCCCUGCGCCGUUUCCUAGCAGAAGACACAUCUGGAACAUGCAGCACAGUUUGGAAAGACUGAAUAAAGCUUGAGACAUUGAUUGCCAAGCACAGAAGUUUUUCAUCCAUCACUAUACAGCCACUGGAAGAAUUUCCCCCUCCUACUCUUGGAGUGAUUUUGAGCAUUUACAUAUGACUGUUAUAAAAAGUUUCGGAUAAGAGAAAAAUAUGUCCUGCUAUUCUUCAGAUGCUUCAAAUGUUUCCGCAGAAAUUAUGUAUUAAUUUGCAUAAAGAGAGA
This 419-nucleotide long non-coding RNA is filed under the name Gallus gallus (chicken). RNAcentral describes it as "lncRNA (ENSGALG00010012864.1)". Lineage: Eukaryota; Metazoa; Chordata; Aves; Galliformes; Phasianidae. The record is from RNAcentral.